Molecule: non-coding RNA, 8423 nt
Organism: Equus caballus (horse)
Lineage: Eukaryota; Metazoa; Chordata; Mammalia; Perissodactyla; Equidae
Source: RefSeq, a predicted model, not a curated record
AAAGAACAUAUAUAUAUAUAUAUUAAGUUUGGGGGACUGAAACUAAGAGGAAAUAGAAAAGGAUGGGAAGUCUGGAGAAAACAAUCAAAACAGUCAAGGAUCAAGAAAAGGAAAGCGUAAGAGGAAAUAGAGGCAAUAAGAAAUGUUAAAGAUAAAAACAAUAAAUCUGUGAAUAUAGCCUGAAACAUUCCAGAAAAGAGUAAUGAGAAACAACCUGCACUUCCAUUUGGUAUAAGGCGUUUUUACACUUUAAAAAAGCUGCUAUUUAACUGUGACUUACUCAGAAAUAAACACAUCAGUGGGUCAGAAUAUAAAGUUGAGAAAUUCUUAAAAUUUUAUAUUAUUGAAAUAGUCAUUAAAUUAGUGGGGAAGAAUGGAUUAUAGUUUUUUUUAAAAAGCUCCAAUCAGAGUAAUUUAAAAGAAGCUCUUAAGAAACCCAAGAUAUUAUGUCAUGGAAACCAAAGGACUGAUAUUUUGAAAUAGCACGCUCACAUGGGUAUUUAAGAAAACUGCAUGGGUAGGUCACAACAGGCAUAAGUGAUGUCAUAAUAGCAGACUAGAAAGAACACAGAUUUUACUUGUUCUUAGCAUAGUUUCUCUAAUCAGGCAGAACAAAAACCUAAAGGAAGAAAACAGAAAAUAUGAUUUAAAAUAUGAAGCAAUGUGCCAAUGACUAGACACCUGGGCAAAUAAUCAGGUCAGUGAGCACUCCUAUUUCAAUGAACUUCUUGCUUUUCCUAGUCCGCACAUAAGAAGGGUAAAAACAAGAUUAUAAACCAGAAGAUUCUUACAGGUAGGAAGGUUUGCUUUGACAUAAAAUAUUCACUGUAUUACGCAAAAACACUUGCCACUUGAAUGAAUUAAACCAAGAAACUCCCCAUACACACAGACAGAAACUGUAGAAGUGCACAAAUUUGCCAUGUAUAUCCCUGGAAUUCUAGAACAUACGAAGUCAGCACUUAAGAAGCACCUGAUAAAUGAAAGAAUAACAAAAAGGCCCAAAGAAACACGAGGAAAAUGCGACCUAAUGAUGGAAAAGCACAGCAAUGAUCGUCAACAUAUAUUAACAGGUCCUGCAAAUUUUAGAAGCCAGCCUGGAUACCUACAACCGAACUUCAAAUCAGUCAAUUCUCAUGAACCAACUCGGUAUGAAACCUACAACAGCACGAGUUCACUAAGUACUCAACAGAUGAAUGAAACGUAUGGCCAAAAGGACUGAAAAAAAGGUGAAACCUCGGGGAAGGGAGCCCACCAAAGGACCCUCCAGGCAGGUGUAGACAUUUGGCUGCAAAAUCUGUGAGAGGAACCUGAGAAGUGAUGCUUGUGCCAGUUGAUUUAUUGUACUCAACUCCAAAUUCACCCUUUUUGACUGCACUAUGAAAAUGGAUCUGGGCCUUUUUAAGCAUCUCAUGUCUUCUGCUGGAAGAUCCUGAAACUACUCACCUACUUAAGAGAAUCUCCACAUUGUUGGCAUAAUCUUCACCUCUCUGUUCCUUUCCUCCCAUGAAAGGAAGUUGAGAGAAAGGAUGAGUCAAGUAACAUAAGAAACUGCUGAGAAGAGAUAAGCAAACUGAGGCACUGUCUUUACUAACUUGCCCAAAUCCACACAGUUAGGUAGCAGAGCUGGUAUUUGAUCCAUCUGGCUCCAGUGUCUGGUGCUUAACCACUCUGCUGUGCUAGCCACCAGAAACUUAGUGGGGGGAAGAAUAUGGACUGAUAUCUGCUUAUACUCUCCCCACUUCCCAGGAUAACCUAGACAGGCACCGUUGCCCUCUGUGCUGGCCUCACCCUCUGACCGGCUUCCCUUGAGGCAGCAAGAUGGCUGCAGACCAAAGCCUCAUAUCUACAUACCACCAUAUCCCGUGGAAUAAUAACAACAAUGACAACAAUGGAAGCAACAGCGGCUACUAUAUGUUGAUCUGUGUGUCAGGUGGGAAGAGGUCCAGAGUCACCCAAGUGGGUUCAGACCCGGAACCAAUUAUCCAGGUACUCAGAGCCUGAAAACAGUGUUUGCACAGGAACAAUCAUGUUUAAGUUAACAUCAAGGACAGCCUUAGAAGAAAAAUGUGGGCAAUAAUUGACUUUAAAGAAAAGAAGCUGAAGAUCAAGACUUGGAAAGAGUAGCACGUUUCUUAGUGAAGAAACAGCCAAGAAAAUUACUGCUCUCCUAGCUCAAUGAGAAGCAUUAAUUAAAGCCACAAGUACAAGCAUGAAACAAAUUUCCACCAAGAACCUCUGCAGUGUGUGUUGGGGAAAAGAAAUACAUGGAACUAGGAAGAAGUCUCCAACUAUGAUCACAUUUGGAUUUUCUCAGAAUACCUUGUAAGAGGGGGAUGUUUCUCAGCUCUGUGCCAAAAACUCAGAACCUGGAGGUGGGGAGACUAGAGAGACUGAAUCUUGGUCCCCCCACCCGCAGUAAUAUUCAUUUCAGCUGUUUCAGCUUCCCAGCCUACAGUACAAGGAAGAAACCAAAGUUACCAUGACAAUUUCUAAACUGUUAGCAAAACCAAUAGUCUACUACAGGGUGGGGGAGAAUGAAGAUCUUCAUCGCCUCUUCCCAUUCAUGAGCGUAAUCACUAAGCCUAUCAGUUUGCUAGAGGAGACAAUCAGUAAUGAACUCAUUACAGAAAUAAACUUAGCAAUCCAGUGGAAAUGGGCAAAGAAGAUGAGCUGAGAGUUCACGUGCACUCAAAAAGCAAAUGGCUGUUAAACACAUGAAAAGAAACUAGAUCUCUCUAAUAGAGAAGAAAGGACAAAAUAAAAUAAAAGUGCAGUGAGAUAUCAUUUUCAUGUGGCAGACUGAGCAAGACCCAAAAGUUUUGUGGUUCCUUGGAUGGAUGAGGGUGAACAGACUGUUGUUGAUGGGGAUGGAAAUUGAUAGAAUAUUUCGGAAGUCUAUUUGGAAAUAUCUACCAAAAUGUAAAGAGAAUACAGCAAAAUUCAUAAUGCACACACAUGUCUAGGACUUUUCUUAAAGCUAUAAUCACCCUAAUGUGCAAAACCAUAUGUACGAAGAUUAUUUAUUACAGCACUGAAUACUGUUUGUAAUAACAAAAUAAUGCAGACAAUCUUAACAUCUGACAAUAGUAAAAUGCUCAAAUAAACUAAAUGCCUGUACAAUAGAAUAUCAUGCAGUCAUUAAGGAGAGGGUGGUUCUGAUAUGGACUAUUGUCAAGAUAUUUUGUUAAAUUACAUAAAAUAGAUACAGGAAAGUGUGCAGAUUUUCUGCCACCCUCCCCCAUUCACUGUCCUCCAGCCAUCCUGGCCUUUCUGUUUCUCAAGUAUGCCAAGCUCAUUUCAGCCUCAAGGCCUUUGUACUUGCUCUUCCUUCUGUCUGGAAUGUCUUCCCAAUUUUCACAUAGCUGGUGUCUGUUCAUCUUUCAGGUCUUAGUGCAAAUUCCUCCUCCUUAGACAGACCUUCUGACUACUAGCAGCCAUAUCUUACUGAAAGAAUCAGCCUGUUUUGCUUGAAACUGUGUGAUAUUACUAAUGCGUUUGUGAAGUAGAGUCCAUAAUAGCUAGAGUGCCCCACCUGUCACUUGUGUGAUUUUCUUCACAGGACUUAGCACUACUUGGAAACAUUUCAUUUUAAAAAUCAUUUUACAUGUUUAUUACUAACCCUUCCAUACACUCCAACUUAUUAGGAUUUAAGGCCCAUAAGGACAGGAAUUUUGUCCUGUUCAUCCCUAUGCCUCCAAUAUUUAGAGUGGCGCCAAAUACAGAGUAAACUCUCAAUAAAAGUUGAAUAAAUGAGUGAAUAAAGGAGAUACCCAUAUAUGCAAAAAAUAUUUCUAGAAAGUACCCAAGGAAAUCUUAGGCUGGUUCUUCAAGGGAAGGAACAGGAAGAAAACUCUUGUUCUGGUUUCAGUGUGCGAGAGAAACCAGGUGAGUGAGACACCGUGACUGACCUAGGUCUGCUCUAUAGGCAAGGAGAUGUUUCUUUGCCCUUGCGGGGCCAUCAGGAUAAGGCCUAAUAGCCUUCAGUUCAUAGUCAUACAGGAAUUGCAUACCUGCUGUGAAAGCAGAGUUGUUAUCUCACAUUGAAAGUCAAGGAAUAUUUAGACGCCAUUUCUCAGCUCCAAGCCCACCUUCUGUCCUGGUAGACUGGGAUUACUCAAACUACAUCCCCAAGACUCCCUUGCCUUAUGGCUUUCUAUUAGGUUCUAUCAAUGGAAAUCACAAGACAAAUACUCGAAGUAGUAAGCAGGGGAGGAGGAGCUUAUUUCCUAUUUUCUAUUUCUUGUUGGCAAUCUUCACUAAUAGCCCACAGUUGGCUACAACUUCCACCUUUUUCCAGCACUCGCAGUUCCAUUCUUACCAAGCUGCCUGGUAGCAGCCAAGCUGAGACCCUUGGCAGCCCUAGUAGGAGGUAAACUGCAUUCCCUUACCAAAUGUGCUGCUCCCUUGAGCCCUGGGAGACCCCACUAGGCCCUGCCCCUUCUCAGAGGGUUAGGCACCAACUGCAUGGAGUCCCUUCCCAGAAGCCCAAGCACUAGUUCUGUAGGGGCUGUUCUCCCAGCUCAUAGGUUCUGGUUAGAGGCCUCUUCCCCAUGUUCUCCAGGCUUGGGAGUGGUAGCUGCUUCCUACUGUCAUUAAUCUCUGGGUGCCUCAGCAUCCUCUUUUUGCUCUUUUAGCCUUCCAACUUAUGCAUAACCAAUUCCCUGUAAUUCGAACUAUUAUGGUUUCUAUUUUCCUUCCUGGAACAUCACCAAUGCAGUGCUUGUUCUGGGCUUUCUUCUCUAGGUCUAUGUUAUUCCCCUGGGUGAUCUUCAUUUAUCUUGAUCCAUUUAUACCCCUUAAGACAUAUAUCCAACUUCCUAUUUGCUAUUUACAUCUUAAAGUCUAAUAGACACCUCAAAUUUAUCUUGUCAAAAAAUGAACUCAUGUUGUACCAAUCUAUUCCUCUGCCAGAAUUUCCCAUCUCAGUAAAUUCAUUCAUUUGUUUGAUCCAAAUCCUCUAUCUAUUCAUUUGUUCAAUCCAAAACCCUAGCAGUCAUUCUUGCUUCCUAUCCUUCCUUGGUUAUUCAUAUUCAGUAUAUCAAUAUGUCAUGUUGGUUUCAUCUCCGAAACUAGACAUCCGUCUCCUCCUUUCCAUCUCUUACGUCAUUCUGCAGUCUACGUCAUCAUUAUCUAUCACUUUGGCUAUUACAGUUGUCUUCUAAGUGGUCUCCAUCUUUCAACUCUAGCCUUUCUAGAGCUGUUUUUCUACCUCAUAGCCAUAAUAAUAUUUAAAAAUGUAAGUUACAAUGAAAGUUAAAUCCAAACUCUUUAUCAUAGCCCUGUGAGAGUCCUGCUGGCACUUCCAACCUCAUCUGCUAUCACAGUCUGUUUGCACUAACUGUGCUCUAGACUCAGAGGCCUCUUCUUUGUCUCAUGCCACAUCAAGCUCUAUACAGACUGAAGUCCUUUAAAUUCACUGCUUCUUCUACAAGGAAUCUUCUUCUACUGGUUGUUCACAUGGUCUUAGUUUUCAUGUCAUAUCCUCAGGGAGGCGUUUCCUGACCACCAAAUCUAAAGUAGCCUUCCUCCCCUAAUUCCUCUCUAUUACAGAGUCCAAUUUACCUCCUUCAUACUCUUAUCUUGAUUACUUGUCCUUUCCUUUGUUUCCUGUCUAAAUACAUGGGAGGGGCCUUGCUAUUUAAUAUCACCUCCCUAGCACCUGAACACUCUCUAUUCCCUAAAAAGUGCUCAGUAAUAUUUGCUGACUGAAUGAAUGAAUGCUUUUAGUAUGCUCUUGUUUAAAGUACUCCAACAUUCAAGUCCUUAUGCACUUUCAAAUAUAUAAAAUUUUCCACUACACUGGAAAAUCUAUAGAAUUAGAUUUUUCUCCCAUCUACUCUCCUUUCCUAUCACACUUCCUAGGAAAUUUCUUGAGGAAAAGCAGCUUAUAAGAUCAAGACUUGAUGACAUAGCUAGCAUUUUCUUUGGAAAAAUAAUACAUAAAUGUAAGUCAAAGAUGCAGAUACACCAGAAUCUACGAGAUUUUCACAACAGCGAGAUUCAUGGCCUUUAAAAAUAUGUAGAACAAGAUGGAACAAAUGUUUUCAGUAGAUGUUCAGGUGCUCUUUUCUAAAAAUAACAUACGUAACCACAAAUCAAUGUUUAAAACCAGAUGGUUAAUGAAGGCCAGCCAGAAAACUCCUCUAAUUCACAGUAAUGAGUAUGGUAAUGAGCUCCCAUUAUAAACCAAACUGCAGCGUGACACACUGUAUCUAUUUCAAAUAAUAGUAAUUUGAUUGUUACAUAUUUUUCAAAGCUCCAAAGCUUAAUUUAUGGAGAAAAAUGUUUAAAAGCCUGAUUGAUGGAGUUAAUCAUGCCCAUUUAGUCAAAUGAAAAGUGGCUUACAUUUUAUUAACAAGACCUGUUCAAAUGUCAGAUGUCAUCAGAAGGAAAACAAUAUUCAAACCCAAAUAAAAGUUAAGAUCUUUCAAAACAUGAAAGAAGUCCCAUUACUAUGGUUGAAAAGAAUAUUUUUCCCUCAACUCUUUGAUGUCUUUACUUUUCAAAUAGGACCCUAAGAAAGGCGUGUUCUAUUGAACAAAAUGCUUCAGGGACUCUGCCAUGAUGGAAAAAUGCCAGGGAUUGAAUUUUAUUUUAGUAUCAAAAGCAAACAUUUAUUUUUACAUGUAAAGUUCACCUUGAUCUCGGAGAGGUAGUCUGAAAAGGCAUUCCCAGUUACCCAAAGUGAUAUGGGCAGGAGCACAUUGCAUGUGGAAACCACUGAAUGUGAUUACAUGGAGCCACUCUGCUUUUGGGAGACACGUCACACUGGGCCACCUUCUGUAAAAGGAUAGAAUACUUUAGGCUGAAUAUCAAGAAAGCAAGGACUUCCAUACUCAUCAUCAUUUUCAUCUACUGUGAAGUUGGCUGCUCACACGUUGUAUGUUUGGAGUACAAGCCAUUAAAAUUGAUGUGUAUGUUUGAUGCUGCAUAUUUUUGUUAUUUUUAUUAAACUAUUAUUUGCUCUUAGGCACCACACUUUUCCCUAAAAUGUGACGAGAUUAUAGAUAGACAUGGUUGGACGAAUUCUGAUCUUCUACAAGAUUUCUGAAUAGACCUCAGUUAUAUUUACUGAGGACCGGAGGUUUAUUUUCUAAAGUGUGUAAGACAGAGGGGUCUCUGGUCUGGGAGCAAAAAGACAAAAUUUAAGGUGUGAAUACUAUAUUGAAAAUUGGAGAAUUAAGAAAAUUUAGCCAUUUUCUCCCACCCAGCUCCCCAUAUGCUGGUAGCCAGGCCUUCACCAUGCAAGAAAGAAAUUAAAGGUCUCUGGAAAAUACUACCAAAUCAAGAGGAAGUUCUAAAGAUGCUGACAUUAGAAAUUUCUCAGGUAAAUAGCCCAACCUGAUCACCCUACAAAGAAAUUCACAAUCUAUAAAGCCCACUAAUGCACUCAAAGUGGCCACUGACAUAAAGUGCUAGAAAAUAUGAAAAGACAACAUAUAUCAAAUAUGAGAAGACUAAUAAUAAAUAUGCAUAUAUAAUUGUAUAUAAAAUAUGUGAAGACAACAAUACUAUAAAAUAUGAGAAUACAACCAAGAGUUAACAGGCUUUGGAAACCAGCAUAUAACAGGAAAGACGGAGACCAAAACAAAUAGAUUUAAAGCAACUUGGAGUUAACAGAGACUUGCGGAAAGAAGAAAACCUAAAUAUACAAACAAAAGAGCAUUAAUAUCUACAGAGAGAUGAGAGAUCAUACAACCGAAAACAGGAACAGGAUACAUACUAUAAAAAAGGAGCAUUCAGAUUACAAAGAGGAGCUUUGACAAAUGAAAAAUAUUAUAGUUAAAAAUGAAAACUCAAUAGAAGACUUUUGAGAGAAGAUUCAAACAAUUUUUGAAGAGUGAGAGGUUGAAUAGUGAUUAAACACAAAAAAAAUGAAGUAAAUGAAAACAGUUAUGACUCCAGGGAGAAGAAAAUGCUGUGCAGGAAAGAAAUAGUGCUUGUAGUUUGCUACAUGUCUCAGCUACAAAUAGAAUUCACAUCAUAGUAAUGUAUUAAUAUGCAAUAUUAAUUUAACUAAAAUUACCAUAUAACUCUGCUGGAGGAAAAGGGAAUGAGAAGACUAUGCAUAUGAGGAGAGGGAAGAAGAGGGGAAAAACCAGAGAUACAUAGUUUCAUCUUCUAAGGUGAGAAGUCAGUUAACAAUGCCAGAAACUGAAAAAUCAAGUAGUAGCAACGAAGAGUACUACUUAGAGUCAUGAAGCUAAAUGAUAACAUAAUCAGGUAAAACAGAUGAAAAUGGUUAAUUCUGGGGAGCAAAAACAGUUGAGGAGUAGGGGAGCAAUGCUAUGUUUCAUAGCAAAAACUGUAAACUAUUGGAUUCUUUAGAGGUUGUAUAUGAUUAACUUUAAUGAAAAUGAAAACGGGCCGGCCCCGUGGCCGAGUGGUUAAGCUCGCGCGCUCUGCUGCAGGCGGCCCAGGGU